AUGGAGGCGUUAAACCACGAGAUAAGCCAGCUCAUCGGCCGGAUCAUUGAGGAGCAUCGCACGAGGAGGUCGGCCGGCGGCGGCGAGGAGGAAGACAUCGUGGACGUGCUACUGAGGAUCCAGAGUGACGGUAGCCCCCACAUGCCUCUCAACGCCAGGACAAUUGGUUCCGUGAUUAUGGAUAUGUUUUCGGGAGGGAGCGAGACCUCGGUGACAACACUCCAAUGGGUGAUGGCAGAGCUCAUGCGGAGUCCAGCGGCUCUUCGGAGGGUGCAGGCAGAGGUGCGCAAUGCUUUCGCCGGGCAGAGCUGCAUCAAGGAGGAGGCCCUGCAGGAGCUGCGAUAUUUGCAUCUAGUAAUCAAGGAGUCGCUCCGGCUACACCCGGUGUUGCCGCUGCUCCUCCCACGGGAGUGUCAGGAACCUUGCCAUGUCCUUGGCUAUGACGUGCCCAAGGGCACCAUAGUGCUCGUCAACGCAUGGGCAAUCGGGCGGGAUUCAGCAAGCUGGGGUGCCGAUGCCGAGGAGUUCAGGCCAGAGAGGUUCGAGGAGGCUGGUGAUGCGGCGGCGGACUUCAGGGGAACGAACUUCGAGCUCGUGCCAUUCGGCGCCGGUAGGAGGAUGUGCCCUGGGAUCACGUUCGGGAUCGCGGUCGUCCAGCUCAUGCUCGCGAGCCUGUUAUUCCAUUUUGAUUGGAAGCUCCCUGGAGGAGGCGCCGAUGGGCUAGACAUGGCGGAGGAGCUCCAGAUGACAGCCAGGAGGAAGAGCGACCUGUGGCUGCAUGCCACCGUUCAUGUGCCUUCUCCUAAUCCAUGA
RNAcentral lists this ribosomal RNA (813 nucleotides) under Triticum aestivum (bread wheat). RNAcentral's name for it is "partial small subunit ribosomal RNA". The record is from RNAcentral. Lineage: Eukaryota; Viridiplantae; Streptophyta; Magnoliopsida; Poales; Poaceae.